RNAcentral lists this ribosomal RNA (1514 nucleotides) under metagenome. Its description in RNAcentral is "bacterial SSU rRNA". It matches the Rfam family "Bacterial small subunit ribosomal RNA". The record is from RNAcentral.
AGAGUUUGAUCCUGGCUCAGAUUGAACGCUGGCGGCAUGCCUUACACAUGCAAGUCGAACGGUAACGCGGGGGCAACCCUGGCGACGAGUGGCGAACGGGAGAGUAAUACAUCGGAACAUAUCCAGUAGCGGGGGAUAACCUAUCGAAAGAUGGACUAAUACCGCAUACGAUCUACGGAUGAAAGCAGGGGACCGCAAGGCCUUGCACUAUUGGAGUGGCCGAUGUCGGAUUAGCUAGUUGGUGGGGUAAAAGCUUACCAAGGCGACGAUCCGUAGCUGGUCUGAGAGGACGAUCAGCCACACUGGAACUGAGACACGGUCCAGACUCCUACGGGAGGCAGCAGUGGGGAAUUUUGGACAAUGGGCGCAAGCCUGAUCCAGCCAUGCCGCGUGAGUGAAGAAGGCCUUCGGGUUGUAAAGCUCUUUCGGUGAAGACGAAACGGUUCAUGCUAAUAACGUGAACUAAUGACGGUACUCACAGAAGAAGCACCGGCUAACUACGUGCCAGCAGCCGCGGUAAUACGUAGGGUGCAGGCGUUAAUCGGAAUUACUGGGCGUAAAGCGUGCGCAGGCGGUUUGCUAAGACAGGUGUGAAAUCCCCGGGCUUAACCUGGGAAUUGCGCUUGUAACUGGCAAGCUAGAGUGUGGCAGAGGGGGGUGGAAUUCCACGUGUAGCAGUGAAAUGCGUAGAUAUGUGGAGGAACACCGAUGGCGAAGGCAGCCCCCUGGGUUAACACUGACGCUCAUGCACGAAAGCGUGGGGAGCAAACAGGAUUAGAUACCCUGGUAGUCCACGCCCUAAACUAUGUCAACUAGUUGUCGGGGAAGAAAUUCCUUGGUAACGAAGCUAACGCGUGAAGUUGACCGCCUGGGGAGUACGGCCGCAAGGUUAAAACUCAAAGGAAUUGACGGGGACCCGCACAAGCGGUGGAUUAUGUGGAUUAAUUCGAUGCAACGCGAAAAACCUUACCUACCCUUGACAUGCUAGGAAGCCCGCAGAGAUGUGGGUGUGCCCGAAAGGGAACCUAGACACAGGUGCUGCAUGGCUGUCGUCAGCUCGUGUCGUGAGAUGUUGGGUUAAGUCCCGCAACGAGCGCAACCCUUGCCAUUAGUUGCUACAUUCAGUUGGGCACUCUAAUGGGACCGCCGGUGACAAACCGGAGGAAGGUGGGGAUGACGUCAAGUCCUCAUGGCCCUUAUGGGUAGGGCUUCACACGUAAUACAAUGGUCGGUACAGAGGGCUGCCAACCCGCAAGGGGGAGCUAAUCCCAGAAAGCCGAUCGUAGUCCGGAUUGUAGUCUGCAACUCGACUGCAUGAAGCCGGAAUCGCUAGUAAUCGCGGAUCAGCAUGUCGCGGUGAAUACGUUCCCGGGUCUUGUACACACCGCCCGUCACACCAUGGGAGUGGGUUCCACCAGAAGUAGUUAGCCUAACCGCAAGGAGGGCGAUUACCACGGUGAGAUUCAUGACUGGGGUGAAGUCGAACAAGGUAGCCGUAUCGGAGGGUGCGGCUG